UAGAUCUAGAGAAUUAUGCAAGAAAUUUGAAGGAAUUUGGUUUAGAAAUGGAUGAAAUAAGGGCUGAAUGCUAUAAAUGUUGUUGUCACGUACAGGGGUGUACCUGUGGAGAAUUUAAAGAAUUUCUCUCAAACCAAUCGAGCAAUUAGAAUAUUUUCUUCACGAAAGUUGAAGAGGAUUGAGUAAGGAAGAACUUCGAGGGCUAUCGAAGGAGAACGGAUUUGAGAAGGCUAUCAAUUUUGAAGAAAACAGAAGGCUGUGAAAUUUUUUCGAAAAAUAGAGGACUUCGGUUUUUAUGCAAAUUCAUGGGCUUAUAGGCUAAUUCAAAGGGGACCGAGGAGGGUUUGACCGAUUUUGGGAGAUUCAGGGCGAUUUCAGGCUCCAACCUUUGUGGUCAAGUUCAAUUAGGAGAGGUUUAUAAACCCGAAGGAUGGAGCUGAAAAUUGUAGCAGUCGACGCCUCGAGGCCUAACAGUUCUGCCAGUUAGUCACUACUCAAGGAUCAUAGAGGGCUUGAAGUCUAGGUGGUCUACUAUGUCCUGUUUAAAUCCUAGUUUUGUUUGUACAUGUCGUAGGAAUCAAGGUAGAACUUGUGUCGAACUGUUGUUAUAAAUAGGCCUGGUUUUUCUGAAACUAUUAUAUAUGUUCAAGUUAAUAUU
Molecule: non-coding RNA, 658 nt
Organism: Benincasa hispida (wax gourd)
Lineage: Eukaryota; Viridiplantae; Streptophyta; Magnoliopsida; Cucurbitales; Cucurbitaceae
Source: RefSeq, a predicted model, not a curated record